UGGGUAACCUGCCUCAAAGAGGGGAAUAGCCUCCCGAAAGGGAGAUUAAUACCGCAUAAUAUGUUUAAGUCGCAUGACUUUAACAUCAAAGGAUUUUCUUUUAGAAAUUCCACUUUGAGAUGGACCCGCGGCGCAUUAGCUAGUUGGUGAGGUAACGGCUCACCAAGGCACGG
RNAcentral lists this ribosomal RNA (173 nucleotides) under uncultured bacterium. RNAcentral describes it as "partial 16S ribosomal RNA". It matches the Rfam family "Bacterial small subunit ribosomal RNA", at positions 118 to 278 of the family's 1533-position model. The record is from RNAcentral.